Molecule: long non-coding RNA, 211 nt
Filed under: Lathyrus oleraceus (garden pea)
Lineage: Eukaryota; Viridiplantae; Streptophyta; Magnoliopsida; Fabales; Fabaceae
Description: Pisum sativum (pea) long non-coding RNA (PSAT_LNC025478)
Source: RNAcentral
UCAUCGUGUUUUCUUCUUCGCAUAAACCCUAACACGCGUAACAGUCUAUUACAUUUUCAAAAUUGCAAGACAUGAGAGCAUUGAAAAACAAACUCCAAUUCUUUGAUUCCUACUUUCUUUCACACUCUCACCGUGUUUUUCAUCUUUCUACCUUCAACAAAACAACACAACAACUUUCCAACUCAGACAUUGACGCCUCGCGUUCACUUUU